This 699-nucleotide small RNA is filed under the name Arabidopsis thaliana (thale cress). RNAcentral's name for it is "ATSL237540". Lineage: Eukaryota; Viridiplantae; Streptophyta; Magnoliopsida; Brassicales; Brassicaceae. The record is from RNAcentral.
AAGAAUGUAAGUAGACAUAAUUAAUCUUUGUGCUGAGAAAUAUAACAAAAUUACAUUUUACUUACAAAAUUAUCAAACGUAUUGUCAAAAAGAACUAACACAAAAUAUAGUUUCUAAUUCAUAUAAUAUCAACUUCCGAGUUUCAACGUUUUUGUAUCUUUCUUGGGAUAUAACAUAUAAGGCCCAAACCGAGGCCCAUACCAUAAUAAAGUAAGGAAAGCAAUGGCUUUCUUUUGGGCAUGUUGUAUUUUCCUUAUAACAAUCUUUUGUAGCUGCUAGGCCCUUUGGCAACAGGCCCUUUUUGGAAACAAUAUUAGUUUUCGCUUUUGAAAAAUGAGAAUUUGUUAUGUGUAACCGUAGUUUAUCCAGAGAUUAUAGUGGCAUACUGAUGCCUAUUUGGCUGCGUGAAUCCAAAACUAGGCUAUAAUGAUUCACAGAGACAGAGCCACAGUGGCAUAAGCAUUUUAAACUUAAAUCCAAAAUACAUCAAUAAAUCGUCAAUCAAGUUAUGGUGUUACCAUUUUACUAGUAGUGGCUUAACUUAAAAAAUUUUAAGGGGCACACAAGCCCUAGAGAUUAAUUGAUCCAACCAAGUUCGACUUCACCGACUACUUUUGACAACAAUUAGAACAGCUAAAAGACACUCUUUUCGAAUUUGGAAAAUCUAAUAUUUUUGCUUAAAACUAUUUUAAUGAAUUA